UUACUUACCUGGCAGGGUUGAUACCAUGAUCACAAAGGUGGUUCCCCCAGGGCGAGGCUCUGCCAUUCCACAGGAGUGGAGCUCACCCUUGCGAAUUCCCCAAAUGCGGGAAUCUCAGCUGAGUAAUUUCUGGUAGUGGGCGACUGCGUUCGUGCUCUCCGG
Small nuclear RNA from Pygocentrus nattereri (red-bellied piranha), 162 nucleotides. Its record names the gene U1. It matches the Rfam family "U1 spliceosomal RNA". Rfam says of the family: U1 is a small nuclear RNA (snRNA) component of the spliceosome (involved in pre-mRNA splicing). NCBI's taxonomy places the organism in Eukaryota, Metazoa, Chordata, Actinopteri, Characiformes, Serrasalmidae. The record is from Ensembl.